UCAUCUGUAGCCUUUCUUUUAUUGCACCCUUUUCUUGCAACAAUUCCCUAAUCUGUUGGGCCUUGGCCUCCAAAGUUUGUUCAGGUACACGAUUUAGUUCUUGAAAUUAUUGCAAAUCUCUUUCUAGCCGUGCUAUUGUUGUGUAACAAUGCUCCCUUUCAGCCUUAAAGUCCUUUUCUUGCUUAACCAUUUUGUUUUCAACCACGAUGACCCUCUUCUUCAAUCUCGCAACCUUGUUGUCGUACCUUUCUUUCAAUUGUUCAAUCACGUGUGCUCGUUCGUCUGCAUUUUUGGUCAAUUGUUUCCGGGCCUUGGCAAGCUCACCUCUACUUUGUUCAAGUCAAAAUCAUAUUUUCCUACUUUCCGCCUCAGAUUGUCUAUGAGCUUUUCAUCUUUUGCACUUCUGGUGGGAUUCUCUGCGGCUAUUUUG
This 430-nucleotide long non-coding RNA is filed under the name Nicotiana benthamiana. RNAcentral's name for it is "long non-coding RNA (NBEN_LNC006994)". Lineage: Eukaryota; Viridiplantae; Streptophyta; Magnoliopsida; Solanales; Solanaceae. The record is from RNAcentral.